RNAcentral lists this ribosomal RNA (253 nucleotides) under uncultured bacterium. RNAcentral describes it as "partial 16S ribosomal RNA". It matches the Rfam family "Bacterial small subunit ribosomal RNA", at positions 524 to 776 of the family's 1533-position model. The record is from RNAcentral.
GACGUAGGGCGCGAGCGUUGUCCGGAUUUAUUGGGCGUAAAGAGCUCGUAGGCGGCUUGUUGCGUCAGCUGUGAAAACCCGCAGCUCAACUGUGGGCUUGCAGCUGAUACGGGCAGGCUUGAGUUCGGUAGGGGAGACUGGAAUUCCUGGUGUAGCGGUGAAAUGCGCAGAUAUCAGGAAGAACACCAAUGGCGAAGGCAGCUCUCUGGGACGGUACUGACGCUGAGACGCGAAAGCGUGGGGAGCGAACAGG